AGAUUGAACGCUAGCGGGAUGCUUUACACAUGCAAGUCGAACGGCAGCGCGGACUUCGGUCUGGCGGCGAGUGGCGAACGGGUGAGUAAUAUAUCGGAACGUGCCCAGUAGCGGGGGAUAACUACGCGAAAGCGUGGCUAAUACCGCAUACGCCCUACGGGGGAAAGGGGGGGAUUCUUCGGAACCUCUCACUAUUGGAGCGGCCGAUAUCAGAUUAGCUAGUUGGUGAGGUAAAGGCUCACCAAGGCGACGAUCUGUAGCUGGUUUGAGAGGACGACCAGCCACACGUGGGACUGAGACACGGCCCAGG
RNAcentral lists this ribosomal RNA (310 nucleotides) under uncultured soil bacterium. RNAcentral's name for it is "bacterial SSU rRNA". It matches the Rfam family "Bacterial small subunit ribosomal RNA", at positions 26 to 335 of the family's 1533-position model. The record is from RNAcentral.